UACAGGGGGGGCAAGCGUUGUUCGGAAUUACUGGGCGUAAAGGGCUCGUAGGUGGCCAACUAAGUCGGACGUGAAAUCCCUCAGCUUAACUGGGGAACUGCGUCCGAUACUGGAUGGCUUGAGUUUGGGAGAGGGAUGCGGAAUUCCAGGUGUAGCGGUGAAAUGCGUAGAUAUCUGGAGGAACACCGGUGGCGAAGGCGGCAUCCUGGACCAACACUGACGCUGAGGAGCGAAAGCUAGGGGAGCAAACGGG
Molecule: ribosomal RNA, 253 nt
Filed under: uncultured bacterium
Lineage: Bacteria
Description: partial 16S ribosomal RNA
Rfam family: Bacterial small subunit ribosomal RNA
Source: RNAcentral